Molecule: ribosomal RNA, 301 nt
Filed under: uncultured bacterium
Lineage: Bacteria
Description: partial 16S ribosomal RNA
Rfam family: Bacterial small subunit ribosomal RNA
Source: RNAcentral
CAGUCGCCACGGGAAUACGUAGGGUGCAAGCGUUAAUCGGAAUUACUGGGCGUAAAGCGUGCGCAGGCGGUCCGCUAAGACAGAUGUGAAAUCCCCGGGCUUAACCUGGGAACUGCAUUUGUGACUGGCGGGUUAGAGUAUGGCAGAGGGGGGUAGAAUUCCACGUGUAGCAGUGAAAUGCGUAGAGAUGUGGAGGAAUACCGAUGGCGAAGGCAGCCCCCUGGGCCAAUACUGACGCUCAUGCACGAAAGCGUGGGGAGCAAACAGGAUUAGAUACCCCUGUAGUCCAUGUCUCUUAUAC